CCAGAACCACCCAAUAAAUCCUAUUAUCAUAUUAUUAUUAAAUCAGUGUAGUACAGUUCCAUAAACAUAUGGGCAGUUGCUCCCAGAAUUUGAUCAUCAAUUGUCAAUUAUAAGGUGCAAAAAUUCCAUUUCCGGGAAAUUAUUCCCCCACCCCAACCCAAAAAAAAAAAAUCCCCAUUUUCCCUCCUAAGAAAAGUUAUCUGAAAUUGUAUUCCCACGGGAUCACAUGAACAAUUUCAAACUCAUUUUGUGUAAGUGAACCACAUAAAUUGACCGUCUUACACUGAACCAUCCAAACUUUCCCAAUUGAUAGGAAGGCAACCGGAGUUAGGAUUUGAUCACUUCUGGUCUGUGUAAACAGCAUCAACGUCAUCAAGUUCAAGUAAUUUAGACAUAAGUUCUUUGUUCAAGUCCAUUGCCUCAUCAUCUACCUCAAUAGUUGUUAAAGGAAGUAGCUCUGAACCAUUAUCAGUCUCAAAUUUUAUUCCUUCCUCACGAAGUUUUGACAAUAUUUCAGCAUAGUCCUCGGACGAACUUACAACUUUGUAGUAGCUUGCUGAGCUAUCUUCAUCAGUAUCAUCAUCAUAUAUUGGAGGUUCAAUGACAUCCUCAGCACCAGCAUCCAAAGCAAUGGUAAGGAGCUGAUCUUUGUCCGCAUCUGUGACUUUUAUAUUCACAAUCCGAACUCGUCUAAACUUGAACAUGACAGAUCCAGGAUCCGCCAUCUUUCCUCCAUAGUCCUUCACUACCUCUCUAACAGCUGCCACAGAUCUGUUUAUUUUAUCUGUCAAGACCUCCACCACCAUACUAACUCCACCAUAACCAUAUACCUAAAUUGAAACAAAAUUCACUUGAAGAGCUGAUAGAUGGGGGAAAAAAAAUAGUAUCCUUAGAAGAACUCUCCUAUAUUAGCAGCACAAGAUAAAAGAUGAAUGAUAUUCAACCUCAUAGAUUUUCUCAAUAUAAGCCUCUUGUCCCUUCUCAGAAGCCCUCUUAAUAUUGCGCUCCAAAAUUUCCUUAGGUACAUCAAGUUCCUUGGCUUUCUCGAGUACAGCAGCUAGAGCUGUAUUUGAUAUAGGAUUUGGGCCACCUUUCUUUACACUGCAUCACUCAAUAGAAUUUUAGAAAGUAUAAACACAUAUUUGGACCAUGUUGACACAAGUAAUGUUAAUGUAGCAACUGAUAUCAAUGAACAUAUAUUGAAAAUACGGUCACUCCUUUUGUUCUAUAUAAAGCUUAUUAAGCCAGCAAUAAGGGGUUAAGAGAAACCAACUUACGCAGACACAACUUCCUUUCCGAUCCUAGAAUACAACUUUGCCUUCUUAGCAUCCUGAGCCCCCUUUCUGCCGGCGAUUUUGGAAGAACGCCUGCCCAUACAUAGAGGAGGGUAAGUCCAUAACCUUCUCACAUUCACUUGACAAUGACUAUGUUUUUCUUCAUAAAACAAUGUGAACCCAGAAUAACAGCUAUAAGAUGACAAUGAUGAUAACGGACUCCUACCAAGCAAACCAUUCCUUAGAGGAGCAAAGCAAGUGGUUGGGCAUUUGAAGCAGACCCCAUAUGAGAAUCUCUGAAGAAUUGCUCCUACUGCUCUCAUUGCAAGCUACCAAAAAUCCAGUUUUAUGAAAUGGUGUAGAGUGCACAUGAAAAUGCCCAGGACCAGGAGGGCAGCAAUCAGGAUUGAACCUUUCUUUGUGUCCUGGACUAGGACAAAGCUGACACCCGUUACAACUACAGAGUUUUCUACACCACUACCAGAUAUUCUGGCCGGUGGACUGGACCAGCCCAUUUUUUUGGCCCCGAGGCUAUUUUAUUUGAGUAAUUUAUAAUACACCCCCCUGAAGUUAGGCAAAACCCUCAACUUCAUCCUUACUUUUUAAAAUGUAAUGAUUUAAUCUGAACGGUUUAAUAUUUCUGCCCAAUUAAACCUUAAUAUUUAACUCUUUGUUUUUACCAAUUCCAUUAAAUUUAAAAAAAAAAUUAAAUCAGAAAUGUUGGAGCACUUCUCUACAGCUAAAUACUAUGGUGCACUUCUCACUAAUCUUUUAACAGUUGAUUAGAUUGGAGAACUUCUCUCCAAUCUUUGAUGGCUGAUCAGAGCGCUUCUCUCCAAUCUCCAUUCUUGAUGCACUUCUCAUCAAUGACUCUUUUUAUACACUUAUCAUCAAAAAUUUCCUUGAAACACUUCUCUCCAGCAAUCCCAUGAAAAUUUUGGUGCAUUUCUGAUAGGGAUAGAACCAGGAAAAGAACUAGAAGAAUGGAAAAGGCCAAAGGUUCUGGAAUUAUGGCAGAAGUCUCUAGAAGGCCAGCUGAGCUCCAGUCACUAGAGGGAAUUUCAGGGGCCAUGUGACAGUAACUGAAGAAAAUGUAUAAAAGAAUAGGAGGGAAGAGUGUAGAGAGAUAUGAGAAAGUUUAUUUUAAUUCCAGCCAGAGUCACUAGCUUGGGGACAGAAUUCUUUCUGCUGGGAGAGUAAUUUCAUUGGCGAAUUAUCUCUGUAUCUGGUUGAUUUCUGAGUAAUAAUAUUACUCUGUUAUCUGCAUUUUCUUAAGGUCAUUGAAGCUUGGAUACCGCAUGUUGGGAAAAUGUACUGAUAAGGAAGAAAUAUCUUAUUGUGAAUAAUGAAAGAAACUUUGUACAACUCUCAUGCUCAAAAGAUUAACAAAUGACUCCUGUUAUACAGUAGCAUAUCUUGUAUUUGUUGCACAAAAUUAGUGCAACUAACUAAAAGAUAAAAGGAUCUCUAAAAUUUAUCAACAAAUUAUACCUACAAUUACAUGAUUAUGGAACUAACACUAAAAAAUCCGAAAUCGUUAACAACCAAAUAAAACUUUGGUCAGCUCAUAGUUGAAUUAACUCCAACAAUAUAGCAAACAAAUUGGUAGUACUAUUUGAGUCCAACUUGAAUUGGCAUAAUUCAUAAUAAUUCAUAGCAUGAAACUACAAAUCAGAUUUUUAAUUUGAGAACUUUUAUUUUGAAUUAUUCUCAUUUCUCUUAAAUUAUACAAAAAUCGAGAAGCAUAGCAACUAAUUCAAAUUCCUUUUCCGCUGUUUUACCUUCAACUCAGCCAAUGGAUAUCACCAAUAACCCCUACUUAUAAUGCAACUCAAGCAGAUACAUUAUUCGACAGACUCAAUGUACCAAGCAACCAUGCAGAUUUGGAGCACCAAACCAAUGACGAGAUCAUUGUUAACAUAUCAUUUACCACAAAUAAAAAUUAUCAGCAACAGAAUUGACUUUAGUAAUGAAGUUUUAACCAAAUUAGAUUUUUGAAUUUGUCAAUAUCUGUUAUGUUUAUCAAUUGAUCUUACUGGCAUCUAGAAAUCAUACAGAACUUUACCCGAUCAAGCAAUAUAUUUGAGGACUUGAAAUCUCUGUAAAGUAUUGGUUUCUCCAUCAUAUGCAAGUAAGCCAGACCUUGAGCCAUUCCUAUCAUAACCUUAACCCUUGUUUCCCAUGAAAGCAGCCGAUUUGGGCUACUUCCAAACAAAUAAUAAUUCAAGCUGCCUCUUUCCAUGAGUUCAUAUACAAUGAGGAAAUUUUCAUUUUCCUUGCAGUAUCCCAUCAGCUUUACAAUGUUAGGAUGAGAAAGCCUCCCUAAGAAACCAACCUCUGUUCGCCAUUGUCGAAAUCCUUGCUUGCUGCUUGUGUCCAAUCUCUUAACAGCAAUGGUUCGUUUCCUGGUACCUCGAUAAUUUUUCUCGUUGAUCCAGCCCUUGUAGACACUGCCAAAACCUCCUCUUCCCAGCACCAUGUCACUUCUAAAAUUAAAGGUUGCAGCUUUCAGUUGUGCAAAGGUGAAAGCUCUCAACUUUGAAUCUGAUUCAGUUACUACAUCAGGAAGAUUCUCGUCUUCAAUUGCAGCGGGGAAUUCAUCGUCAUCAAUGGCAUUGUACCCCCAGAUAGCUGCAAUCGCGCCACUCACUUGAGAUAACCGUGCUGUAAGAUUGGUGGUUACCAUAGAGAACCAGCUUGUGCGUGAGACAUUGCUACCCACAAAAGAUGCAUCCCCAUCAAUGAGAUGGCCGAUGCUGCUGGGGAGCGGGUCUGGGUCUGGGAUUGAGUCUGCAACUGGAGGUGUAGCCGGAGGGAUAGAAGCUGGGGCUAGAUUGGACUUACCAGCAAUGCAACUCCAGCAAAUCCCCAUCAAAAAAAUUUUUUCUGUACAUGCAUGAUUAUCGAUUUCUGUUUCUGAUGAGAAUAGGUCGAGAGAAAACUGAAAAGGCUAAAGAUUUUCUUUCUUCCGGUUGAGUCAACGGCCAUCGCAUUUUUAGUCACCCUGUCAUUCCUGUACACUCAAGUUCAAGGAAAGAGUGAUGCGGAAU
This 4324-nucleotide unclassified non-coding RNA is filed under the name Hevea brasiliensis (rubber tree). Lineage: Eukaryota; Viridiplantae; Streptophyta; Magnoliopsida; Malpighiales; Euphorbiaceae. The record is from RNAcentral.